Syngnathus typhle (broad-nosed pipefish) is the source of this 1377-nucleotide long non-coding RNA. RefSeq lists it as uncharacterized. The transcript has 2 exons. Lineage: Eukaryota; Metazoa; Chordata; Actinopteri; Syngnathiformes; Syngnathidae. The record is from RefSeq and is a predicted model, not a curated record.
CAUGUCCAUCUGGGUGUCAGACAAACAUUUAACAACAACAUGGAUGACAGUGAACAUACAGAAUCUGACAGUAGGGCGACGAGGGCGGGAGACGGGGGCUCUGGAGUCGGGCCUCACUUGGCGCCGACACUUGACUGGAGUUGACGCUCAUGAAGAAGCCUGAGAAACCGGAAAAACAGUGUCAACUCUGACUCAGAGCACGAGAGCUCACAAGUUGUCUCCUAAUCGGCUUCCACCUGUGCGAUUGGUGUGAUCGGUGGGCGGCCAAGCGCCGCUGCCGGCCUUCUGCCUACGCCAGCUUCUCUGACCUUGGCCGGAGGCCGUCCAGCCGCAGCUGUCCCUCUCAAAUGUGCAAGGACCUGCAAGGCGCCGAUAGUGAGCAGGGAUGCCGGGAACGCCACGAGUCACGUGCUCAGAAAUAUCAAAGCUGGGAACGACAACAACGUAGCCGCCGUUUCCCGUUUGACGAGACGCAGCAGGCGAUUGUGAUUCACUUUGUUGACGUCUGAUUACAACACAAGUCAGGAGAGGAGAAGGUGAAGUGUGCCCUCUGCCAGUCGUAAUGAUGCGACGGCGUCCUGAGCCACAGCUCGGUGUCGUCGGUACCCGAGGCGAACGUCCUGGAACGCGCAGAAAGUUUUCCCGCGGUGUCUUGCAGGCUGUAGUAGAAGAAUCGGAUCUGCACCGACACACGGUCGUGCACGAUUCACGUUAUUACUCUUUAACAUCAAGUUGCAAACAUUGAAAAUAAGAAAAGAAGUCAAAUGUGUCUCAUGCGUAGCUGCCAAUACAUUUUUCCGCAUAGGACAUCAUGCAAAGUGUAAAUGAUUUGUCAUCCGAAUUAAAUGAAACAUGAAUCGCCACGACACUCACCGUACAAUUUGAGCUAGGAAGUAACGUUCUGGAAAGAAUCUCCGAUAUGUGUCCCAUCCCCGUGAGAUGAGUCCCUGGAGUUAUAUAGUGACCUGAGGAAAUAACAUGAGAAUAAAGGCAGGUUGCCGUGGCAACAACCCCCAUUUCAUGACUUGCAAAACAGGCUUAUUAUGUGGCAACUUUUUCCAUUCACCCGCAGCACUGUUGCGAGUAUGAUCCCGGGGGGGUCCGUCAGCGGGCCAGGCGUCUUGUCCUUUUCGUCGGGUCCAUCUGGCUCCGGGGGAGUUCAAGCGGCUUUCAGCCCAAGAGCACAGGCCUUGUUCAAAGCUGCAGCGCUCUGUCUCACCUGCUUAAGAGUCAAAUGAGAGAAGAUGGACAGAAAAGUCAACCGCUUCAAUCGGCUGUGUUCACCUCCACAAUGGCGCAAACCCCCCUUUUGUGUUGGUUUGUUUCUGGGUGUGGCGCAAUUUGAUAGUAAAAUAAAAAUAAAUAAAAUAGUGUUUA